Molecule: small nuclear RNA, 104 nt
Organism: Ictidomys tridecemlineatus (thirteen-lined ground squirrel)
Lineage: Eukaryota; Metazoa; Chordata; Mammalia; Rodentia; Sciuridae
Source: Ensembl
GUGCUUGCUUUUGCAGCACAUACACCAAAAUUGGAAUGAUACAGGGAUGUGUGUGGCCCUUGUGCAAGGAUGACAUGCAAAUUUGUGAAGCGUUCCAUAUUUUU